ACGAACGCUGGCGGCAUGCCUCACACAUGCAAGUCGAACGAGACCUUCGGGUCUAGUGGCGCACGGGUGCGUAACGCGUGGGAAUCUACCCUCAGGUUCGGAAUAACUCAGAGAAAUUUGAGCUAAUACCGGAUGAUGACGUAAGUCCAAAGAUUUAUCGCCUGAGGAUGAGCCCGCGUAGGAUUAGGUAGUUGGUGAGGUAAAGGCUCACCAAGCCGACGAUCCUUAGCUGGUCUGAGAGGAUGAUCAGCCACACUGGGACUGAGACACGGCCCAGACUCCUACGGGAGGCAGCAGUGGGGAAUAUUGGACAAUGGGCGAAAGCCUGAUCCAGCAAUGCCGCGUGAGUGAUGAAGGCCUUAGGGUUGUAAAGCUCUUUUACCCGGGAUGAUAAUGACAGUACCGGGAGAAUAAGCUCCGGCUAACUCCGUG
Molecule: ribosomal RNA, 432 nt
Filed under: uncultured bacterium
Lineage: Bacteria
Description: partial 16S ribosomal RNA
Rfam family: Bacterial small subunit ribosomal RNA
Source: RNAcentral